Molecule: small RNA, 30 nt
Filed under: Bombyx mori (domestic silkworm)
Lineage: Eukaryota; Metazoa; Arthropoda; Insecta; Lepidoptera; Bombycidae
Description: piRNA piR-bmo-1644887
Source: RNAcentral
CGGAUCUUCACGUGGUUUUACAACCAAUUC